RNAcentral lists this ribosomal RNA (1796 nucleotides) under Duncaniella muris. RNAcentral's name for it is "Bacterial large subunit ribosomal RNA". It matches the Rfam family "Bacterial large subunit ribosomal RNA", at positions 179 to 1954 of the family's 2925-position model. The record is from Rfam by way of RNAcentral. Lineage: Bacteria; Pseudomonadati; Bacteroidota; Bacteroidia; Bacteroidales; Muribaculaceae.
GCGAACUUGGGGAACUGAAACAUCUCAGUACCCAAAGGAAAAGAAAAUAACCCAAUGAUUGCGCCAGUAGUGGCGAGCGAACGCGCAAGAGCCCAAACCGGCGGUGUUCAGGCACUGACCGGGGUUGUAGGACCGUCAGCAAAUGGACAGUUUGAAGUUAGCCGAAGCCUCUGGAAAGGGGCGCCGCAGCGGGUGACAGCCCCGUAGGCGAAAACAGACGACUGACAGAGACGGCACCUGAGUAAGCCGGGACACGAGAAAUCCUGGCCGAAUCCGCGGGGACCAUCCCGUAAGGCUAAAUACUACCGAGAGACCGAUAGCGAACCAGUACCGUGAGGGAAAGGUGAAAAGAACCUCGAACAGAGGAGUGAAACAGACCCUGAAAUCAUGUGCCUACAAGCGGUCGGAGCUGCUUCGUGCAGUGACGGCGUGCCUUUUGCAUAAUGAACCUACGAGUUACCGUCGUUGGCGAGGCUAAGUCCACUGAUGGACGGAGCCGAAGCGAAAGCGAGUCAGAAUAUGGCGCAAUCUAGUCAGCGGCGGUAGACGCGAAACCAAGUGAUCUACCCUUGGGCAGGUUGAAGGUGGGGUAACACCCACUGGAGGACCGAACCGGUAAGCGUUGAAAAGCUUUCGGAUGACCUGAGGGUAGGAGUGAAAGGCCAAUCAAACUUGGAGAUAGCUCGUACUCCCCGAAAUGCAUUUAGGUGCAGCCUCGGGCGCAGUACCGUGGAGGUAGAGCGACUGAUAGGAUGCGAGGGCUUCACCGCCUAUCAAGUCCUGACAAACUCCGAAUGCCACGGCACGAUCCCCGGGAGUGAGGGCGCGGGUGCUAAGGUCCGCGUCCGAGAGAGGAACAACUCAGACCACCGUCUAAGGCCCCCAAAUCCGGGCUAAGUUGAAGACAAUAACGAGGUGGGAUUGCAAGGACAGCUAGGAUGUUGGCUUGGAAGCAGCCAUUCAUUUAAAGAGUGCGUAACAGCUCACUAGUCGAGUGAUCCCGCAUGGAUAAUAAUCGGGCAUAAGUCCGGUGCCGAAGACGUGGAAUCGACGGUUAAACCGUCGAUUGGUAGGGGAGCAUUCCGGUAGCCGCAGAAGGUCAGGCGCGAGCCUGGCUGGAGGUCCCGGAAAAGCAAAUGUAGGUAUAAGUAACGACAAAGGGGGCGAGAAACCCCCUCGCCGCAAGACCAAGGGUUUCUGAUCAACGCUAAUCGGAUCAGAGUCAGUCGGGACCUAAGGCACAGCCGCAAGGCGCAGCCGAUGGAAGAAACGGUCAACAUUCCGUUACUCCCUUCAGGAGUGACGUGGAGACGGAGAAGUGACACUCCCGCGUGCUGACGGAAUAGCACGUUAAACCGCGUAGGUAUAUCUGAGGCAGGCAAAACCGCCUCAGAUGCUGAAACGGGACAGUACGGAGAGCCCCCGUGGCAAUCCGACAGCGGAGGUAAUCAGGCUCCCAAGAAAAUCCGCUAAACUUAAUCCUGAAGGGACCCGUACCCCAAACCGACACAGGUGGUCGGGUAGAACAUACCAAGGCGCUCGAGAGAUUCACGGUUAAGGAACUAGGCAAAUUGACCCCGUAACUUCGGGAUAAGGGGUCCCCUCCUUCAGGGGAGGGGCGCAGAGAAUAGGUCCAGGCAACUGUUUAACAAAAACACAGGGCUGUGCGAAAUUGAAAGAUGAAGAAUACAGCCUGACACCUGCCCGGUGCCGGAAGGUUAAGAGGAGAUGUCAUCGCAAGAGAAGCAUUGAAUUGAAGCCCCGGUAAACGGCGGCCGUAACUAUAACGGUCCUAA